Molecule: ribosomal RNA, 386 nt
Filed under: Oryzias luzonensis
Lineage: Eukaryota; Metazoa; Chordata; Actinopteri; Beloniformes; Adrianichthyidae
Description: partial 12S ribosomal RNA
Rfam family: Bacterial small subunit ribosomal RNA
Source: RNAcentral
GCAUAGCUGUAAACUUUGAUGAACUAUUACAUUAUCAUCCGCCCGGGUACUACGAGCACCAGCUUAAAACCCAAAGGACUUGGCGGUGCUUUAGACCCACCUAGAGGAGCCUGUUCUAGAACCGAUAACCCCCGUUAAACCUCACCCUCUCUUGUUUUUCCCGCCUAUAUACCGCCGUCGUCAGCUUACCCUGUGAAGGACAGAUAGUAAGCGCAACCAGUAGUGCUCAAAACGUCAGGUCGAGGUGUAGCAUAUGAGGGGGGAAGAAAUGGGCUACAUUCCUUGCCUCAAGGAAAACGGAUAACAUAAUGAAAGGUAUGUUAGAAGGAGGAUUUAGCAGUAAGCAGCAAAUAGAGUGUUCUGCUGAAACUGGCCCUGAAGCGCGC